RNAcentral lists this long non-coding RNA (534 nucleotides) under Ictidomys tridecemlineatus (thirteen-lined ground squirrel). RNAcentral describes it as "lncRNA (ENSSTOG00000034252.1)". Lineage: Eukaryota; Metazoa; Chordata; Mammalia; Rodentia; Sciuridae. The record is from RNAcentral.
AAGAAAUGAAGGAAUGACAAUGAAUAUGUGUUCAAAUAUCAAAAUGUCUGGGGCCGAAUCUAAGGCCUCUAGAGAAGGUGAAACCCUAGAAGGCGUAAUUCUGGGAGGCUUCCUGGAGUUGGGACAAACCUAGAGGGGUCCUGGAGAGGCAGACUCUGAAGGAAAAAGAAUUCUGUAGAAACCCAGCAUGGCCCAAGCUUGGAGCGUGGAACAGAGGCGGCCGCUGGGGCACUGAUGACUCGCCCGCCCGCCCCAUCUCCUGUCCCUAAAAACAGUGCUUUGCCUCACUGCAGGUCUGCUAACCUGUGUGGAACACAGGGACGUCAAGCCACCCCUGGAGGAUGUGCUCAGCUCUGGGCCAAUGCUGUGAGGAUGCCCACCGACACCACGGAGAAGGAGCCUCAACCUGGACAAGGAUGGCCUCCACGCAACUCCUGAAGGAGAGGUCUGGGGAAGAGAAGGCUUGUGGGGGUGGGCACAAUCACCAUUUUGGAAGGAAAUAAUAAUAAACAGUGGUUAAUGCCUACGUGCUUG